This is a long non-coding RNA of Cavia porcellus (domestic guinea pig), 428 nucleotides long. RefSeq lists it as uncharacterized. The transcript is spliced from 2 exons. The record is from RefSeq and is a predicted model, not a curated record. NCBI's taxonomy places the organism in Eukaryota, Metazoa, Chordata, Mammalia, Rodentia, Caviidae.
GGCUGCACUGGAGCGGCAUAGAGGAUAUACUCCACACAGCAAUCUGUUUAUCUAGAAUCACUCUGCCUGGAAAAAAUGGAGAAAAUCACAGCUUCAGUAUCUGAGGGGAGGACAGGUGAUCUGGCAGAAACACAUCUGAACCUGAAGCAGCAACGAUCCUCUGGCUUGGCAGUCCCUAAGGUACAGCACGAAAAGACCUGAGCCUCCCCAGAAAUCCAAGGGCAAUCCCAGCAGCAAAACCGGAGUGCUGCUGCCUAUGGAGACCAUGUGAGAAUGGAAACUUUUGAGAAAACAAGCUGUCAGCAUUGUUGCCCUUUUUGCUCAAAAAUAGAUUUACUCUGAAAUGUAAAACAAUCCCUUAACAUAAUAUUGUCGUUGAAUCCUUUUCACUCUCUUAACCAAAUCCCAUUAAAACCCCCUGGAACUUC